GAAACGCUGCUCUUAAAGGGAAAGGGACGUGGGGGGAGGACGUAGCGUAGGCAAAGCGAGACGGGGGGGAGGCAAGCAACUCCUAAACUUCUGUACUUUUAUAAUAUGAUUAAUUCCUCUGGAUUGCAAGUUAAGGAGCUAUGUCAUUUUUAAAAAUAAAAUAAAAUAACAUCUUUUUGUGCUCCGGACUUGCAAACUUCCGAAAAAAUUGUGAUUUUUUUUUUAAGGGAGGAGGCGACAUAGGAUGGAUAAGGAAUCCCCCCGCCGGUCUAAUAGGGAGAAGCGAGUGUAAGCUAGUGAAUGUGCGUGCGUAUUUCUCGCGCUAGGGAAAGUCUAGAGCUCUUCCACGCGGCUUUUUUUUUUCUAAGUGACAUCAGCCUGAAGAUUAUUAAUCCCCCCACUCCACAACCUCCAACAAUUAAAAGGAACAAGCAAAACUUUGCGCCUGGAAACCUGGAUUUGGCAACAGAUAUCCCCUCUGGCAAUGGAAUUCCCAAGGAUGGUUCUAAUGGAAAUUGCCAAGUGACAGUGCCACAUGGUUUCUAGAAAAACGGAAGAAAGCAAGCACAAAGAACUGUUGACAGACUUGCCCAGGGGAGCAUUUUCUCCACAUGGUAUAGAAAUCUGUCCCACCUUCAUAUGCAGAAGGUAAAGUUUGCAUAGGUUACACAUCUUUGUGCAUGUGUGUAUGUAGAGGAGAAAGAUUGCAUGAAUCAAAUCUGUGGACCUUAUAGGCAUAUGCAAAGAACACAUGAGGCCCAUGCAGAAUCCAUGGUAAUGAAGGCAUGGGGAGAAGGGAUUGUGCCUUUUGCGCAAGUUCCUGGUGAGCACGUAUUUGUCCGAAAGCCUGACUGCUGCACCAAAUGCACACAAGCUCUCUCUGAGCAAUCAAGAACCUUGCAGAAGGCAGUGCCCUCAGUUGCACAUUAUGUGGAUGCAGGAGGUGUGCUCCCAUCUACCUCACAUGCAUAAGAACAUAAGAAGAAUCUGCUGGACCAGGCCAAUGACUAGUCUAGUCCACCAUCCUGUUCUCACAGUGGCCUGUGGGAAAUCAGUAAGCAGGACCUGAUUAGGUGACCUUGGGUUGGUCACUACCUUCUGUUUAACCUACCUCAUAGGGUUGUUGUAUGGGUGAAAAAUAAAUGGGAGGGAAGAACCAUGUACACUGCUUUGAGCUCAUUAAAGGAAAUGUGGCACAUCACUGUGAUCCACAAAUAAAAGGAAAAGAGCCUUCAACAAUGAGCUUAUUGUUCAUUGGUGUGAAGGAUGUUAACACAAGAGUUUCCCUAGUUUCUUAAGUAAAAUACCCAUUGAGCACAGAGGGAUUUAUUUCAAUGUAAACAUGCAGUGCAUCAGGCUCCCUAAGACCAGAAGAAGAGUUCUGCUGGAUCAGGCCAAAGCCCAUUUAGUCUAACACCCUGUUCUCAAAGCGGCCAGUCAGAAGCCACAAUGGGAAAGCCCACAAGCAGGACCGAGGGCAGCACUCCCAUGGUUCCCAGCAACUGGUUUUCAGAGGCAUACUGCCUCCAACACAGUAGGUAGAACAUAGCCUGGAGGCUAGUAACCAUUGAUAGCUUGAGUGUGAGAGGAUAUCAAAAGGCAGAUCAAGGGAAGGACCUUCGAUCUGGAUGAGGAAGAAAAGCAAAGAAGAGAAGAGAAGAAAAAGGAAGGCAUGGUGUACGUGUGUGUGUGUGUGUGUGUGUGUGUGUGUGUGUGUGUGUGUGUGUGUUCUUCCAAAGUACUUGGCCCACCCAGACAAUUCCCCAUGUCUAGUUUCCUCUGCUAACAAACUAACAAACUCCAAAUGACCCCAUUUAAAUUCUGAGGGGUCUUUGGCAAAACACACACAGCCAUUUUGCGCCCAUCUUGUUUGCCCACCACGAGGAUCCCAGAGCAUAAUCCAUCUUUAAAUAUUAUGGGUCUAAUUUGACUGAGCAAUAUUUGUUCGCGCGUUGGCAGCUAAUGUAAGGAAAACAAAAAAAGGGGAAUCCCGGGAGUUGUACAGUUGGGAUCUGUGUGGCCGCAUUAACCUCGAGUCGCUUCCUGUAGUGGAGUCGGAGCUUAGGACUCAAGUGGCGCUUGACAGAUGUGUGUUAAAAAUGGAUAAACUAGGAAGGGAAGGUUUUGAAUUCUCGACACUCAUCUUAACCUUACGCUACUAGUAAAUCACAGUGUUCCAGAGGCCUCGUUUCAGAUAUCGCCUUACAAUAUAUUUUGCAUCUUUCUCCCCCCGCCCUCCACCCACUAAAAUGGAGCGUCAUGAUGAAUGGACACAGCAGGGUUUGGUGCGAUGUCUCAGUGAUCACAACUGUACAGGUUAGUGGCUGAACUCCACAAUUUAAUUUCUCCCAGGCUUUCAUUUUAGUCCUGUUUGAAACCAGAAAGAAAAGCCACCCCCACAAAAACAGCAUUUUUUUCUCCCAGCACAGUGUAUGAAGGGUGCAAUUUCACAUCUUAGGAGUUCUUAUCAAAUUUCAAAGGUGCUUUGGAUGUAGUCAAAAUUAAAUGCCUUCAAAGCAGUAUAUUUUAAUUCCCCUGCUUCAUAUUUCAUCAUAGGCAUUCAUUCCUUGGUUGCAGUCCCUUAUCUGAAGUGCUGGCCUACCUUACAGUGUUGCUGUUCAGAACAAAAACAAGAAUAAUCAUGUACAGCAGAAUCUUGUGCAUUUUUUACUUACAUGCAAGUCUCAUUGUGUCCAGUUGGGCUUACUCCCAGAUUGGUGGGCAGGUAACUCUAAGACUAGUGUUUUAGAUUGCAAGGUGGUGGCAAUUUAAAACACUGCAGUUGUUUCAAAACUGCAGUUGAAAACUGCAAUUGAUGUGUUCAGUGGCAAAUUCAUCCUUUUGCAGCAACCCAGUAUCUGAUGGCUUCAUACUACUACCGGUACCCCCAUAUUACAGAGGAGAAGUUCAGAAUGAGACAGAACGGUUUGCUACUUAAGGCCUCGCAAAUUAGAUAAUGCCCGUGUACACUCAGUAAUAAAGACUUCUUGACUCUCAGCUCUCAUUUGAACCCUGGCCACUUCACUCUAUGUCUAACCCUCUGCCCAUUAGGCCACAUUGUUUCAGUUUUAGAAACUUAAUGUUUCCCAAGUAUUGUUCAAGUUAGGGAAAAGCAUCGUCACACUUGAGUGGAGAAAAAGCUGGCAGGAGUUGCUAAUUAAAUGGACAGAGAGAAUUAAUUAUUUCUUUCUUUUUUCUUUUUUAAAAGAGUACAAUCUAGUCUCCCAUUUUCACUUCUAGUGGAACCUUCAGUGAAGGCGUCUCCAAGUCUCCGGUGAUGCCCAAGAGUGUUUAGAUGGAGGGUCUAGAUGGAGACACCUAUUGAAAUGUGUCUGAAGAAGAUUAAUAGGACUUGUCAGUGUUGGGAAAAGCGCUGCUUUGCGCUUCUUCAACAGAGAACAAAUCAACAUUCUUCACUGAGGUUCUGGCAAGGACAAUGAUGUUAGUUCACAGAAACAGCAGAAGCAGUGGCAAAAGUCUUCUUGAACUCUAUCGCUUUGGACUGCAAGUGGAGCGGGAGUCCUAUUUUUGAAUGCCCCUUUGCACUUAAAUCCCCCCCCCCAAGUGAUAAACUUGCAUGUCCCAUUAUGACGUCAGAAGCCAUUCUCAGAGGAGGAAAACCAAAACAAAUCUCUGCUUGUCUGCAUCCCCAGACCUGGAAAUUUUGUCUGGCGAGAUGGAUAGAAAAACAAAUUUCCAAAACCACAGCCUUAAGAAAGUUCAGUGGCUACGGACUUCAGACAUGCAUGUUGAGGAACAUCAGAGGCACAAUUCAUACCUUGGAGCACUUUUCCAUUAUCAAAUGGGAUUCCCACUCCAGCAACUUGAAAACACGCAUGUCUCCUUGGAGAAUUUCUCAAAGAUGCGGUGCGUAUGGCCUGAAGAGCUCAUAUUUCUAAUCCUCUUCAGAAUGGUUUUAUUUUUUAGGGGGGCGGUGAGGGGUGGUGGAAAUGAAAAACAGCAGCUCAUACUAGAAAGGAGAUGGAGAGGAAGGCAAAGAAUCCUCGGCUGGAGAGCUGAGAAAGUGUGGCAAAAGUCAAACAAUCUUGUAUGAGAUGAAAGUGGUUACAGACAGCAGAAAUGGCGUUUCCUCGGGGGGGGGGAAGCGACACUGAAAAUUCGUUGUUCAAAGUUCUUAUGUUUCAUCCGAACAAAUUCCAUUACAUUAGGAAGAUUAGGGGAAAAAAAUUGCAUUCUGUUUCCUUGGGCUGUGAAAAUGUAAGAGAAAUUCAUUGAGGAAGGGGGGAAGAGAUGUGAUAUUUUCCUUCUCAGUAUUAGAAGGACCCCAAUAUUUGCACCUAGUGCAGCAAAGAAAUGGGGGACGUGGGGUUGCAUAAGGAAACCAGGAAUGUUUUGAAGUCCGUGUUCUCUAUAGACCACAUUUUACAUGAACAAGAAUGAAAUGGAGAGACAUGGGCAGGAUUAUGAGCUACUGUUGAAAGAUUAUUAUUCUGAGCAAUUGAUCUUAUUUUUGGAAAGGGUUUCAGGCAAAAAGGAAAAGGGGGGAAAAGGAAAAAAAUGCUGCUGGGGGCUGAAUUCUGAGUAUUUUGCCACUAGUCAUAUUUUUAGGGAACAUUUUCAAGAAUGCACAUCUCCUUUUUGUAAUGAUUUUUUUGGGGCACUGUUGCAGCAAGCAAGCAAGCAAGCAAGCAAGCAAGCAAACAAACAAACAAACAAACAAACAAACACAACAUCCCACAUUCAUCUGUAUUCCCCACAUUUGUUUUUGCCCCCAAAUGACUUCAUUUGCCACAUAGCUACGGUAAGUCCCAUUGGCUUUGUGGCACAGUGAUGUUCUCUGUGUUCCCUGAUUGGUUGGAAUCACUUAUAUGACUAAUCCAAGAAGGUGAAAGAUGCAGCAAUGAGAGGGGAAAUAGCCACAAGCAACAGCCAGGGGAAAUAGCCACAACAAAGAAGAUAAAAAGAUGUGGCUUCUUUUUUUGAGGGGAAAGGCAUCAUAGCAUGUCUUCAAAAUAAUUAUAUAGAAUACAAAAUCAUUGUGUAGAAACCAUAGAAUUCAGUUUUAGCACACUCUUAAUCAUAGCUGCCAAGUUUUCCCUUUUCUCACGAGGAAGCCUAUUCAGCAUAAGGGAAUUUCCCUUAAAAAAGGGAUAACUUGGCAGCUAUGCUCUUAAUUACUACAAACAAACAAUAUGCUUGGCAACUAACUGAUUGGAUUCCAUUCCAAACUUGCCUGAUGGAUUAACUGAUCGGAUAACAAAAUCCAUUCACUGGCAGUUUGGUUGGAGCUGGAAAGCACUUAGAAUGGGCAUUGUAGUGGUACUGAGAGGUCAGAAAGAGAUGGAACCAAGUGGUCUUCACUGAAGGAUGGCCAGUGAGGAAUCUGACCUGUUGGCUCUAGACAAGGGGAGGGUCCAAACAUCAGUGGCAAAUCAUGCAGACAGUCCUAAGACUAGAUCUCUGGCCUCUCCCAUUUUUAAAGAGUCUCAAGUGGUAGAGGUGAGGAAGAUCUCUCUCUGCUUGAAAUCCUGGAGAGCUGCAGCUGCUCAACAAAAUACUGGCCUAGAUGGACCAGGACAGCUCCAUGUAAGGGAUAACUACUGGCACCCCUGAUUUCAGUCAUACAUUAGUUGGGAAGCACUUUCAUAUGGACAAGAAGAUGCAAGAGUGCCAGUUUUAGACUUCUGUCCCAGAUCCUUGAAACCAACGCACAAUGACUAUAGCUGCAAUAACUCUCCCCCUGACUGAGCUGUCCACAGCACACUCAGCAUCGUAAUCAUGCAAAUUAAAUACAAAUUUUAAAAAUUGCCCCCAUUAAAAUGAUCUAUUAAUGUUGUAAGGCUCCAACACUUAUGGAGAACAGUUCUAAUUGCCUGAUCUUGCUAUUGGCACAUCUUAAAAGACCUGGCAGAUCUUGAAGAUAUUUACACCUCUGGGAUUAAUUUCAUUGUAAGGAAUUAACUUUUGGCAAAGCUUGGUUGCUGCCACUAGGAGGGGAAAAAAAGGUUGAUAACAUCUGCUUUUUAAAACUGUUAUAUUGCUGGAGAAGACGAAAAGCGCUGUGCAAAUUGCCUGAAUAAAAAAGUAAGAAUGUGCCACUUCCCUCACACAUAUAUUGCUUUUAAAAAUAUAGUUGAACUGCAACCAAAAAAACUAGCUGGUUAGACCAAAUCAGUCUGUAAAGUUCAGCCUCACCUUCUCUCUCACUGCAGCUGAUCUGCAAACAUGCCAAUGGCUUCUGUGACAUCACAGCUUUUUAGCCAAUCAGUGUGAAAGAACUAAAUCCAGAGUCAUAGCUUGGCAUGUGUCCUUUGAUUAAGCACUGGGACCACUAACUUUCAAUAGAUUAUUUCUGCAAAACUGCAACCAACAGAGAAGGGGUCAUAGCUCAAUGGUAGCACGCAUGCUUUUCACUCAAAAUACCCCAGGUUCAGUCUCCAGAUGGCACAGGUAAUGUUCCCUGGAGAGGUGCUGCAAGUCAGCAAAGACAAUGUUGAACUGGCAUAGCAUCGAGCCACUACAGUGUAGUGACUAAGAAGCUGGGCUAUGAAAGAUGAAGCCUUCAAUUCAAGUCUUGCCUCUACCACAAACCCUCUCAGAAGCUCCUCUCUCUUGGUCUCUGUCACCGCCCCCCCCCUAAUUUGUAAUAUGUCCUGGAGGGAGAUAAUACGGAUCUUACAUGUGACAGUGGUGGGGAGCCUGUGGGCCUCCAGAUAUUGAGUGGACUCCAAUUCCCAUCAGUCUAACCCAAUUAUGCACCUGCAGGGUGGCUGGUUCCUUAUCACUGUCUGAAGAGGCAAGGAUUACAACAAGACCAUGCAUAGGAAGUGCUUUGAAGCCUUGGAAGUGCUGCACCAAUGCUAAAUCUUAUCAAGCUUGAUCAAGCAUCCAGAACCUUUUCCAGCCUGGGGGCCAUUUUCACUGCUAGGCAAACUUCCCCCCCCUGGGGGGUGGGCUGCUGCUGCUGCAUGUCAGCGGUGGGUGGGGCCAGAAACAAAUGUGAGGGGAAUAACAGGUGUUACUGGUAUAUCUGUACAGCAAGUUAAUUUCUACACACACAAUCACACACUGCCAUCCGUCCAGGCAAGCAAGAGGCAUGAUUAGACUUCAGUGGCACAUUCCAGCCAAGCCAAAAAUGCUCAAGGAGAGUGUUGGGGUGGAAAGGGGUGUGGCCUGGGGAGAUUCUUAUGGGCCAGGGAGAGAGGUCUAGAGUGCCACAUUCAGUCUCUGGUCAUGACAGGGGCGUAGGAGGUUAGGGGCGGUGGGGGCAGCGUGCCACGAGCGACGUGAUCCCAGGAGCGCCAUCAAUGCUGCCCGCCCCACCCCCAGAACGUGCACUACAUUACUGCGCACAGUGCGCCCCGCCCCCAAAACAUGUGCCCCGCCAGGCUGCCACUGCGCACGGCAUGCCCCGCCCCCAAAAUGUGUGCCCUGCCCCCAGAACGUGUGCCACAUCACUGGGGGCAGCGCGUCUGCUCUCCGCCCCCAGUGGCGGAGCAUGAAGUUCCACCGCUGGGUCAUGAGGUUCCCUGUCCUUGAGGUAGAUGGAACAAUGGGAAGAUAUAGUAUGUUUGAGUCCUAAGAUCACAUAUCCUACAAAAGGCCUCAUUUACUUAUUUAGCUCGGACCAGCAAGAAAACUGCAUUGCAAAGCCUGCUGCCCUGUUGCCCUCCUCCAGCACCUGACUUGCCCAUCCUGAUUUGCAGCAUAUCUUGCUGCUCCUAGCGUGAUUUCCUCCCCCUUCCUGCCCCCUGAGCAGAAACUGGAGCAAAGUUUAGCAGAAAUGCAUGUCAUUGAAUGGAGCUGAAAAGAAGGAAGAGGCAAGUGAUAAGAUCAGAGCCUGCAGCGCCUUGUUUAUGAGAACAUCCUCUGUGUAAUAUAUGUCUGGACUAGGUGAAAGGAUGGUGUCACCCCCCAACAUAUUUUAAAUGCUGCGACUGUCAGGCAAAAAGACAAUGGUGUACAAGUCUAUACAAAACAUGCACACACAAAAAUAUGGCACACAGCAAGGAGAGUUUUCACAAGUGAAGCUCCUGCUUCUGUGGAGUUUGCAAUGCAAAACUUAAAAAUGAAGAUGGCAUUGGUUAAAAUGUUUAUUUGCAUUAUGAAUAGCCAGUCUCUUUGCUUUUCCUUCUGUGAUGAAACAACACUUCGAGACUGGUGAAAAGGCGACUUCAUAUGCGAAAACACCUUUAUAGGGUCAGAACCCCACCAUACAUUUAAAGCACUAUUAUACCACCUGAACAACCAUGGCUUCUCCCAGAGAAUCCUGUGACCUGUAGUUUGUUAAGAGUUGCCAUCACCUUGCCAACAAAGGUCCAUUUAGUUAAAGCUAUGGUUUUCCCAGUAGUGAUGUAUGGAAGUGAGAGCUGGACCAUAAAGAAGGCUGAUCGCCGAAGAAUUGAUGCUUUUGAAUUAUGGUGCUGGAGGAGACUCUUGAGAGUCCUAUGGACUGCAAGAAGAUCAAACCUAUCCAUUCUGAAGGAAAUCAGCCCCGAGUGCUCACUGGAAGGACAGAUCCUGAAGCUGAGGCUCCAAUACUUUGGCCACCUCACGAGAAGAGAAGACUCCCUGGAAAAGAAUCUGAUGUUGGAAAAGAUUGAGGGCACUAGGAGAAGGGAACGACAGAGGACGAGAUGGUUGGACAGUGUCCUCGAAGCUACGAACAUGAGUUUGACCAAACUGUGGGAGGCAGUGGAAGACAGGAGUGCCUGGCGUGCUCUGGUCCAUGGGGUCACGAAGAGUCGGACACGAAUAAAUGACUAAACAACAACAACAACAACAACAACAACAACAACAACUCAUAACAACCCUUAACAAUCUUAACAAACAGUUGCCAUGUGUAUUUUAAUUUGCUGUCCUUGUCUGCUCAGUGCAGACAAUGGAAGAUUCUUCUCCACAUCUCCCCACUCUUAGAACUCCCUAGCAAGGCUGGUGCCAGCAACCAGCAUCCUUUGGUAAUUUCCAGGUCCCAGCAGUCAGGCUCCUGACAAGGCUUGUCUUGCCCUCUCCUCAAUUGCCCCACCCCCUGACCAGGAAGAUGUGCCAUGUGGCUAGAUUUAGCCACCCUUAUAAUUUCCUGCACCUAUGUGCAACUAUGUGCAGCAAUGUGGGGAAUUUAAAGAGUGGCUAUUGCUGGCCACUCAGCACUGCUUUGAGUCAGGUAAGCCAAACCAGACCCACUGAGAACCUCAGCUGAGUUUCUGUAAACCACAGGAGGGGUGGCGGCGGUGCUCUCGUGCUCAGUUCCUGCUUGUGGAUUUCCCAUAGGCAUCUGGUUGGCUGCUGUGAGAACAGGAUGUUGGACUAGAUGGGCCACUGGCCUGAUCCAGCAGGCUCUUUUGACAUUCUUAUGAUGGGCGCUGCCAGAUGAUGCAUCGUCCAGGGCCCUCUCAAAUCUGGAACCCUUCCCCCCUCCCCCCUCUAGGGUUUUGUCUGGGAGGCCCAUUUCAUGGUGGAAAAACUGUGAGGUUAGCUAAUGCAAAGUUCUUUGAAGGAUGUGCUUUCAAUUUCCAGGUCUCCCUUCAACCCUUUCCUCCAAAAAUAAAAGAACAGGAUUCCUGAAGCAGAGCAUAGGGUCUCUGAGGGGAAACAUACACCCUUACCAGCUUAAUUUAAAGACCCACAGCAAGGCUCCCUGGCUCUUUCAGGAAGAUCUUUGCUUUACACUUAGUAAAGUCACCACACAAAGCAGCCCGUUACUUAUGCAUUCUCUCUCCCUGUCCCCCCCCCCAUCGCCUCCUUCCCCAUACACAAGAAGGUGAAAAUAAUAGAAUAAACAUCAUAUACUUCAUUAUGAUAUCGGUUUACACUUCUAGCGCGCACAGAAAGAGGCCAUUUCAUCAAGCUAAUUGCCUGAAAGUAAAAGAGAGGGAACUUUGGCUAUUAGUCUAUUAUGGGGCUUUUUUCUUAAUCACAAAUAGGGGGCUGUGGAUCCCCAGGGAGGAUGUGUAUUUCUAAUUUACAAUUGAACCACAGAUCCAAGCAAUCAAUCUUGGGCAGCACUUUUACAGUAUAAUUGCUGCAACAUCACAAAUAAGAGAGAGUCAACGCCGAGUUUCAGCUUAGAGGUAGAGGAUUUUUACUAGGCAUUGGUUUAGGUUGGGGAGGGGGGAACAGAGAGUCACACACAUACACACAGACUCCACAGCCAUGAAUAUGCAAUGAGGGCUCAUUAGUGCCCUUGUGUUGCCAUGACGAAUGGCAUUAUCCCCAGACCGGUGCGGCCUAAACAUGAAUUUUAUAACGACCCAUUUAUCAUGACUUGUCAUGGGCUUCUUUACUGUAUCUUCCAGUAGCUUCUGAACCCAUCUUCACUUUGACGUCAGAAUUCUCCCUCCGCUCUUCUGCUGUUGACUCGAUUAUGGGCUCCUAGUUCUCUUUAAACGGUGAAUGCUGAUAUAAAAAUACAUGCAAGGUCAGCAAGAUGCUUCCGCAAUAGUAGAACUCACGGAGCAGGUGGUCUCUGGGUCAGGAGGAGAGGUGUGCUUGUCCAGAGUUGUGGCAGGGUGGGGGUCAAAGAUCCAUUACUAUUUCUGCAGCAGGGUUCUUGUCUCAAGCAUGCUAGAGCUGCCCAAUCAGCAUGAAAGGAGAGGGUUUUAGCUACUGAGAAUAAGCCUUCUCACCCUUUGUGCUGAUCAGAGCCAAUCAGAGUGAAAGGAGGUGAGUCGGCCACUGAGGAUUGGCGCCCAGCGUCAUUCUGAAGAAUGAAAGAACAUUGAGGGAAGAACAUUAGAAUCCAACAGUGAAGCUGGAUGGUGGGAAAUUCAGGCCUGACAAAAAGUACUUCUUGAUAUAGUGCAUAGUGAAAUUAUGGCAUUUGCCACCCAAGCCCUGCCAUUGCUGGCCAGUGGUUAGGAUUGCAGCCUAAUAGGAUCUAUGAAAUGCUUCGAAGAGUUCAGAGGUGGCGAGUAGUAAUAAUGUAUGAAAUGGCAGCUUUAAGAUGGCAGCUGCUUCUCUGCCACUUUUCUCCAGGGUUGCUCCACUGGCAAUUCCAAGGUGUUGAUCAGAGGAAAGAAGAAGAAGAAGAAGAAGAAGAAGAAGAAGAAGAAGAAGAAGAAGAAGAAGAAGAAGAAGAAGAAGAAGAAGAAGAAGAAGGGGAGUUUGGAAUUGAUAUUCCGCUUUAUCACUAUCCAAAGGAGUCUCAAAGCGGCUAACAUUCUCCUUUCCCUUCCUCCGCCACAACAAACACUCUGUGAGGUGAGUGGGGCUGAGAGACUUCAGAGAAGUGUGACUAGCCCAAGGUCACCCAGCAGCUGCAUGUGGCGGAGCGGGGAAGCAAACCCUGGCUACCGCUCUUAACCACUACCCCACACUGGCUCUCAACACAUAAAUAAGAAGAAGAGAAAGGAAGUAAACAAGAAAGUGUCCAUGGGACAUUCCAACUUCAGGCUUGGAAGCAAAUGGAAGAGGUUUAGAGCAAACAAUUUGCUAUAGAACGUUAUGUAAGAUUUUAGAUUCCUGGGACAGUAAGAUAAAUAAAGAAUUCAAUCUCGAUAUCCUGCUGGUAAAACUUGCCAGCUAGCUAUGCACAGCUUGAUAUGCUAGUGUUCUCUCUUUCCUCACCCCCUAAAAAAAGUUACAAUCUCCUUUUGCAUAUUUUCUUUCCCUUAACAAACAGGAUGGAGCAGGCAAACUAUAUCUCUGUUUGUCCCACACUGGGUCCUUGCAAGCUGUUCUUAAAAAAAAAAUUCAAAUGAUUUCAGCUGCCCAAUUUGAGAGAAGUUAGCACUUUGCUAAUUACAACCCGACUUAAAAUAAGCAAGGCAAGCAAGCCCUCUUUGCCUUCUCUGCCACCGCUGUCUUUACUGACAUCUUCAGUCAUUAAUGAGUUAAUAAGAAUCUCGGCCUCAUCUGCGGAAAGAUAAGGCCAGAAAGAAAGAAGAGCAUUGUACACAUAAUGACAGGUUCCCUGUUGCCUCCUAAGAUGCUAUGGGUCAGCCAUGUUAAGAAUGUGUGUGUCCAAUCAUCUGCUGAUGUUUAUCAGAGAGGCCUGGAGCGCAACCUGACACAGGGCAGUUGGGGAGUUACAAUGAAUAAAGAAUGGCUCCCCUGGCUUGUUGGCGGCUGUGUGAGAGCGCAAGGGGAGGGCGAGGAGGGGUGAGCUAUAUAUACUAAAACACGAUGACACGAGCAAUCAGUAAAGCAAUUACAAGACAAGUUAUUGGAUGGAGAUGGCGCAAGGCUUCUGGGGCACUUUGAACGUGGGAUCUGGGGCGGUCCAGCUCGCCACAAGAGGAGGGCUUAACUCUUCAAGCACCUGGACGCAUGUCUAACCCUACAAGUCACAGCGGCAGCAAGGGGGAAAUGACGGACAUGGCAUUGCCUGGAAGUGUUGGGUGUUGAUCCAGCACUGUGUAACUUGUGGGGUCCAAGUCUGAAUACAGCUGCAACUCUUGGGGAUUAGGAACCAGGGCAGGCUCAAGGUUGCUGUAUUAAUUCACAGAGCCCUGAACAACUUGGGACCAAAUUAGCUUAAGGGCCACCUGAUUCUUUAUGCUCCACCUCAAUCACCGAGACCCUCCGAAGGGGCACUUUGGGUGGUCCCCCAUGUCCCUGAGGGUUGGUUGACCUUUACCAAGAGCUGAGCCUUUAGUGUGCCUUUGGAACUCCUUGUCAAUAGAAAGCUGGCAGGAGUCAUCCCUACUUUCUUUUAAAAUCUGUAUUUUUUCAGACCGGCCUUUGACCCACGAUCAUUUCUUUACCAACCAGUUUUUCUUCUUUUCUUUACCAACCAGUUCUUACUGAUAUCAUUGCAGUUUUGUGGAUUUUUUUUUUAAAAAAAUACUCUGCCUUCUUGUAUUUCCUAUGAAAAUGCAGUUGAUAAAUAUUUGAACAAAUAAAAUAAACCUAGUAAUGUAGGAAGUUGCCCUCUACCAAGCCAGACCAUUCCUCCAUUUAGCUCAGUAUUGGCUGCACAGACAUAUGUCCGUAUCAUGAGACGUGGUUUGCAAAUUCUGAAAUAUAGCUGGUUGUUUCCUGUUUUCUAUCAUUGCACAAAGAUUGAUGCUGCAGAAUUUAGCGCCCCCCUCCCUCCUGGUCAAUUUUAUAGCCCUUAUGGCUGUUCACAGAGAUUUGUAAUAAAGUGCGGCCAUCAUGCAUGCACUCAUUACAUAUCAUAGAUUAUGAUCUCACUCUCUAACUAGGUGAACCUAAGGGGAUUUUGUUUAUGACACCCCUGUUGAUUGAAAAUGAACAAAACCAAUACAUGUUGACUCAUGACAAUGGGUGUCAUGUUACUUCCUGCUGCACAUGUUCUUCAGACUUAUAGAGGUUACUGGUUUAAGUGAGUCAGUGUUAGGUUGGGGCUAUGUUAGCUGUAUAAACCAGAGUUGGGAAACUUCAGCCCCAGGGGGUCAAAUAUGGCCCUCCAGGUUUCUCUGUUUCUCUCUUGGGGUCCUCCCCAGACAUAUCCCGGUUCUACCUGGAUGAAGGUGGGAAUAUGUGUGUGUAUCCUACUAUACAAAGCUAAGAGUCACAACUGUCACUUUUCCUCUGAACCGCCCACUUUUGCCUUUUAUUCUGCACACUACUGGCAUGUGGCUCCUGAAAGAUUGUCAGCAAGGGAAUUUGGCCCCCAGGCUGAAAAAUGUUCCUCACCUUUAAUAUAAAUAAAAGUAAAACGACUAAAACUGGUAAUAAUAUGAGUGUGGUCAAAGUCUGAAUAAUCAAAAAACCUGGGGUAGGAGGUGGGACGGGGACGGGGGGCUCAGUAGGAAUUUUAAAUAAAGGCUGUUUGCUUUAGAGCUAAGAGACUUCUUCAAAGGCUUUCUCCCCACACCCAUAGAUUUAAAAAAAUCGUCUGAGCAUUUAAAAGUGCAUUUCUCUUGCAUAUUCCUAACACAUGCUUUCCUUAAACAUAAAUCCUGCACCGACCUAGGACUGACUGUUCAUUAAAUAACAAGCAGGGUUGUGGGUUGGUUUCUUUCUUUUUCUUUUUUUAAAAAAAUCCAACAGUUUAAGAACUCCUUCUUCUUUAAUUUGAAAAUUAACUUGUUGCCUAAAGGUAACACUUCUCCGUUGACAAAAUAAUGGUAAGAGAUUGACCUUUUCAUGAAUGGAUUACAGGCAAGAAAUAAUAUACUUUGUCACAGAGCAUUAACUGUGCCUGUUGAAAAGGUAAAGACUGUGUACAGAGCUUACGAUGUCAGUGGCUCCCUUAAAAAUAUUAAUUAUGUCAGUUAAAACACUUGAAGUCGUUGAGUCGGUGUCACAUCCUGACGACUGGCAUCUCUUAAAUUCUCCUGCUUACAUCUCCAUCUCAAAGAAAACAAAAGUAGUCAUUGGGGGCAGGGGAGGGAGGAAGAGAAUCCCCCUUUCUGUUCCUGAACCCACGAGCCUGCUGGAAUAUGGACAGCAAAUGUGGAAUUCUUCUAAGGAGGCGGGGGAGAGAAUUUAGUCCUGAUUCGUGAUGGGUAUCAUGUUACCUUCAGCUGCACAUGUUCUUAAGACUUAUGCUGUUAUUGGUUGAAGUGGGGGGUUAUUUUCUGUACCAGGUUAGAUCUUCAAAUUGCUUAUUUGAAUGCAGAAUCUGGGCCCCUUUGGACCACAUUUGAUUUUUUGUUUGUUUGUGCAUGUAACAGGCUAUGCUUUAUUUAUUUAUUCUGAUUUAGAAAGAUUUAUAAACUCCCUAAUCAAACAGCUCUCUAAGCUGUGCACACAAUAAAACUGCAGAUAAGACACAACUAAAAGCCACAAAACUAUUAAAAAAACAAAUACAAGUAAGACAAUUAUAAUUAAAGCACAGAUAAAAUCAGUAAAACUUUUAGAACCAAGAUAGGUAACUGAAUUAUAUGUUCCGGGUUGGCUUGCAUCUAAAACCACUUAGUGAGGCUGCCUGCUUAAUGUCAAAGGACUCUGAAAGACCUCCUGCCCCGUGUAGAUCUCAUUUAUUUAUUUAAUACCCGGCUCUUCCUCCACAAAGAGCCCAGGGCAGCAAACAGAAACACAAGUUAAAAACAACAAAAAAAGCUAAAACAUUUAAAACAUUCAAAAAACAAUUGCAAUUAAAAGCAUCUAAAAGCAGUUUCUGGUUUUUUUUAAUAAAAUUAUUCCAUUCAGCGGUCACAGGGCUGGCCAGAACAGUCACCAAGUGCAAGCGUGAACAGGAAUGUUUUCAAAUUCCUCCUGAAAGUUAAUGAUGAUGGAGACAGGCACACCUCGCUGGGGAGGGCAUUCCACAAAUGGGGAAACCAGAGAAGAACACUGGGAUCAGUUGGAGAAAUUCUGAUUUUGGCACUGCGCCCUACAUAGGGUGGUAACUGGAAAAAGUCAUUUUCUAGUAUUGACACAAUAUACUACAAAAUGCCCUGUUGUUGUUGUUUAGUCGUUUAGUCGUGUCCAACUCUUCGUGACCCCAUGGACCAUAGCACGCCAGGCACUCCUGUCUUGCCGCAGUUUGGUCAGACUCAUGUUCGUAGCUUCGAGAACACUGUCCAACCAUCUCAUCCUCUGUCGUCCCCUUCUCCUUGUGCCCUCAAUCUUUUCCAACAUCAGGAUCUUUUCCAGGGAGUCUUCUCUUCUCAUGAGAUGGCCAAAUAUUGGAGCCUCAGCUUCAGGAUCUGUCCUUCCAGUGAGCACUCAGGGCUGAUUUCCUUCAAAAUGGAUAGGUUUGAUCUUCUUGCAGUCCACGGGACUCUCAAGAGUCUCCUCCAGCACCAUAAUUCAAA
Molecule: non-coding RNA, 15629 nt
Organism: Zootoca vivipara (common lizard)
Lineage: Eukaryota; Metazoa; Chordata; Lepidosauria; Squamata; Lacertidae
Source: RefSeq, a predicted model, not a curated record